Molecule: transfer RNA, 92 nt
Filed under: Chloroflexota bacterium
Lineage: Bacteria; Bacillati; Chloroflexota
Description: Chloroflexi bacterium tRNA-Ser
Rfam family: tRNA
About the family: Transfer RNA (tRNA) molecules are approximately 80 nucleotides in length. Their secondary structure includes four short double-helical elements and three loops (D, anti-codon, and T loops). Further hydrogen bonds mediate the characteristic L-shaped molecular structure. tRNAs have two regions of fundamental functional importance: the anti-codon, which is responsible for specific mRNA codon recognition, and the 3' end, to which the tRNAs corresponding amino acid is attached (by aminoacyl-tRNA synthetases). tRNAs cope with the degeneracy of the genetic code in two manners: having more than one tRNA (with a specific anti-codon) for a particular amino acid; and 'wobble' base-pairing, i.e. permitting non-standard base-pairing at the 3rd anti-codon position.
Source: RNAcentral
GGGGAGGUCGCAUAGUUGGUCGAGUGCGGGGGAUUGCUAAUCCCUUGUACGGGAGUAAUCCCGUACCGCGGGUUCGAAUCCCGCCCUCCCCG